Molecule: small nuclear RNA, 105 nt
Organism: Ailuropoda melanoleuca (giant panda)
Lineage: Eukaryota; Metazoa; Chordata; Mammalia; Carnivora; Ursidae
Source: Ensembl
GUGCUCUCUGGCAGCACAUAUACCAUAAUUGAAACAAUACAGAGAAGAUUAGCAUGGCCCCUGCACAAGGAUGACAUACAAAUUUAUGAAGCAUUCCAUGUAUUU